AUUCAAAUCACCAAAUCAAAUCACUGUCCCCUGAAUUGGUCGAAUCGAAAUCCAAAGCAAAUUCUAGCUACUUCACACAGGCCUAAUAAACACCUCCUGCAGGCUGCAAAC
Gavialis gangeticus (Gharial) is the source of this 111-nucleotide long non-coding RNA. RefSeq lists it as uncharacterized. NCBI's taxonomy places the organism in Eukaryota, Metazoa, Chordata, Crocodylia, Gavialidae. The record is from RefSeq and is a predicted model, not a curated record. The transcript is spliced from 3 exons.